GACGAACGCUGGCGGCGUGCCUAAUACAUGCAAGUCGAACGCUGAAGGAGGAGCUUGCUUCUCUGGAUGAGUUGCCAACGGGUGAGUAACGCGUAGGUAACCUGCCUGGUAGCGGGGGAUAACUAUUGGAAACGAUAGCUAAUACCGCAUAAGAGUAGAUGUUGCAUGACAUUUGCUUAAAAGGUGCAAUUGCUUCCCUACCAUAUGGACCUGCGUUGUAUUAGCUAGUUGGUGGGGUAACGGCUUACCAAGGCGACGAUACAUAGCCGACCUGAGAGGGGGAUCGGCCACACUGGGACUGGGACACGGCCCAGACUUCUUCGGGAGGCAGCAGGAGGGAAUCUUCGGGAAUGGACGGAAGGCUGACCGAGGAACGCCGCGGGAGGGAAGAAGGGUUUCGGGUCGGAAAGGUCUGUUGUAAGAGAAGAAAGGGUGUGAGAGUAGAAAGUUCACACUGUGACGGUACCUUACCAGAAAGAGACGGCUAACUACGUG
RNAcentral lists this ribosomal RNA (495 nucleotides) under uncultured bacterium. Its description in RNAcentral is "partial 16S ribosomal RNA". It matches the Rfam family "Bacterial small subunit ribosomal RNA", at positions 28 to 507 of the family's 1533-position model. The record is from RNAcentral.